UAUGCUCUUUUUCUAGAGAAAUGUUUAAUUUUUGCAGAUUUUAUUCAAGUGACUUGUAGUUCCUUUAUAUUUGUUAAUAUUCUUGAAAGGGACCAGCUGCCUGCUGAGGAAUAAAUCAGGGAGUGGAAAUACUGAGUGAGAAAUUUUUACUUGGAUGUGUUGUCUCAAACACCCUGCCAUUCAAUAUGUUAUUUUCUUCACCCCAGAGGCUAUAGAAGAACUGGAGAAGAUUCCAUUUGAUAGUCACAGAAAAUACAUCAGGUACUAAAUGUUGCUGAUUUAAUCAACAUGAUAUUGAUGCUUACAGCUUUAACCCCUCAACCCCACAACAGCAGUGAAUGGCAUAAUAACACCAACGACCUCCUUUUGUAUUUGUUAGUGCCCUUAAAUCAAUGACAUUGGGGAAGAGAGGCUUUAGAUACUGAAUCUUUUUAUAUUUUUAAUGAAAUUUAUCUCUAUGCCCUGAUAUGUUCAGAUAUAUUUUAAUCAAUUUGUUAAGUAAUAUAGACAGAUGUCCAUGAACAGAAUUACAAAUUAUGCUAAGAAACACCAUACAUUGCACUGAUGUUUUUGGAAAUGUCAGUUUGUGCAUUUGACUACUGUAGUCUGCAAGUUCUCAUUGGAAGAGAAGACACUGUCAUUUUCAUCUUUGUAUACCCAGGGCCUAACA
RNAcentral lists this long non-coding RNA (670 nucleotides) under Oryctolagus cuniculus (rabbit). RNAcentral's name for it is "lncRNA (ENSOCUG00000030812.1)". Lineage: Eukaryota; Metazoa; Chordata; Mammalia; Lagomorpha; Leporidae. The record is from RNAcentral.